RNAcentral lists this ribosomal RNA (741 nucleotides) under Psathyrella flexispora. RNAcentral's name for it is "partial large subunit ribosomal RNA". The record is from RNAcentral. Lineage: Eukaryota; Fungi; Basidiomycota; Agaricomycetes; Agaricales; Psathyrellaceae.
UUGAAAUCUGGCGUCAUUUUGAUGUCCGAGUUGUAAUCUGUAGAGGAGCAUUCGAGUGUAGCUUUGGCUUAAGUUUCUUGGAWCAGGGCGUCAUAGAGGGUGAGAACCCCGUUAACGGCCUUUGUCUUAUGCUCAUGUGAAUCUCCUUCAACGAGUCGAGUUGUUUGGGAAUGCAGCUCUAAAUUGGUGGUAAAUUCCAUCUAAAGCUAAAUACUGGCAAGAGACCGAUAGCGCACAAGUAGAGUGAUCGAAAGAUGAAAAGAACUCUGAACAGAGAGUUAAAUAGUACGUGAAAUUGUUGAAAGGGAAGCACUUGCUACCAGACGCACUUGCAGUCGAUCAACCUCCAUUCUUGGUGGUGCACUCGGUUGUAGGUGGGCCAGCAUCAGUCAUGGCGGUGGGAAAAAGAUCUUGGGAAUGUGGCUUCCUUCGGGGAGUGUUAUAGCCCUUGGUGUAAUGCCACCUGCUAUGACUGAGGACCGCGCUUCGGUGAGGAUGCUGGCAUAAUAGUCGUAAGUGACCCGUCUUGAAACACGGACCAAGGAGUCUAACAUCUAUGCAAGUGUUUGGGUGUUAAAACCCUUACGCGAAAUGAAAGUAAAUGGAGGUGGGAACCGUAAGGUGCACCAUCGACCGAUCCUGAUGUUUUCGGAUGGAUUUGAGUAGGAGCAUAGCUGUUGGGACCCGAAAGAUGGUGAACUAUGCCUGAAUAGGGUGAAGCCAGAGGAAACUCUGGUGGAG